Orcinus orca (killer whale) is the source of this 19088-nucleotide long non-coding RNA. RefSeq lists it as uncharacterized. The record is from RefSeq and is a predicted model, not a curated record. The transcript is spliced from 5 exons. Lineage: Eukaryota; Metazoa; Chordata; Mammalia; Artiodactyla; Delphinidae.
UGCAACCUUUCUUUGCUCCUUCUUGUCGGUGACCGUAUUCGGAGUGACCUCAGUUUGGGGAUUCCAGGUAUGUCAAGCGUGGAGACGCAGUGUCCUGAGGCCGAUGGUCUGGGAAGAGGCUCCUGUGUUGUUGAACCUGCCCAGUUGUGGGUGCAGCCUUGUACCAGGCAGCCCGACCCUGACCUAAAGUAAAUUCCCAGGAGAGGUUUUUCCUGGGUUUUGAAUUUGCAGUAACAGGUGUGAACAUUCUAGCAGCAGUUUGAUGAUCAUGUAUGAUACUGCAAACAGGAUUUUCGCUGAAAAAAGAAAAGCUGUAAACAGUGUUGAUGUUUUAUUCAAUAAAUAUUUUUUGAUUCUUUGGCCACCCACCAUGCUAAGUGUUAGGGAUACAGAGAUGUUACGGCCCUUGUUCUCAGGAAGCUACAGCCCAGUUGGGGAGAUAAAAUUCAGUGAUCACCCUAAAGAGGGUAUAAUUCAGUCCGAGGUGAGUGCUCUGAAGGAAAGCAUAGUCUAAUGAGAAUAUGUGUCUCAAAGAAUCUGAUGGAGACUGGAAAGCUUUCCUGAGGAUGAGACCCUUGAGCUGGACUCUGAAGGACUCAAGGAUGAGUAGGAGUUUGGUGGGAAGGCCAGGGGACAGCAUGUGCAAAGGUCCAGUGGGCUAGCGAGUAUGGCCAGUGGAGGAACUGGAAAAAGGCCAUUGUAGCCUGGAAAACAAAGUGGAAAAUGGUGUGAAACGAAGCUGGAAAGGUGAGGAGGGCCAGACGACACAGGGCCUGUGGCUUAUGUUAGGAUUUGGGGCUUUGUCCUGAGAAUAGUGGGAGGUUAGUAUGGGAUUUAAACAAGAAGAUGAUGUACUGAAAAUUGUAGCUUCAAAAGAGCCCUGUGUACAGAGCAGCACAGUCUAGCAGAACUUUCUGCGAUGCUGGUCUAUAAUCUGUGUCCUCCUGUAGAGCAGGCCCCGAGCCUGGAGUGGAAUUUUAAUUUAAAUGUAAAUGGCCACACGCGCCUAGUGGCCGCUGCGUGGGACCGCGCAGCUCUGGAACCUGUUGGAGGGGGCCAUGACAGAUCGUGGCACACAGAUGCCCUUUCACUUCCUGAAGAAGGACUGAGACAGGUUCCACUUUGGGGAGGAUCCACACGUUGAUCAUUCCUGGGCAUCUCACACAGUAACUGCUUGUGGAACUGCUUUUCUUUUUUAUUUUCUUGGUGUGGUUCAGCUCCUUCAUGAAGCGGCAUAUUCCCCCCUCUCCUACCUUUGCCUGUUUUGUUGUCAGCACACAGAUGGAGAAGUGAUUCUUCAACUCAUCGAAGUACCUACAGCGGUCAAAGCAUUACGUCUCAGCUUUGGAGGGGCUGUCAAGAAAAGUGGUCCCUGGUGUUCCAGGGUUUGGGAUGCAGAGAGGUAGACGGCAGGAAGUGCCCUGGACCCCAGGAAGAAGCGUUUCCAGUGGGACCUGGCAGAAUGCGGCCCUGUGAGGAAGUAAAGGCCGUUUCCAGCCGAUGAAACAUGUGACCAAAGGGAGGAAGUGUGAAAGUGCUUGAGAGGGUGUGGGGAACUCAAAAGUUGGGGGGAAACUGGGGAACUGCACAGCGAGAGAAAGGGAGGAAUAGGUAGGAAUAGAUGGGCUGGUGUUGCGUUAUGGGGGGCUUUGUCAGAGUUCGGCUUGUUGUGCCCACUAUGGGCCAGGAGGGCCCCACGUGGUGGUGGGCAGAUGUCCAGGUGUGCCUGCAGUGGUGGGUUAGGGAGUCACUGGGGUGGAGCCCGUAGACUUGGAAGGAGGGGGCUGAUUGGUCGCUGCGGGGCACCGGCUGCAUCGUAUUUUUGGUGGAAGGUAGAUUUUAGAUCUUGGAGGGUAUUUUAUUGUGUUAACAGUCUUAAAUUCUCUGAAUAUUCAGACUUGCUGAAGUCAAAUAAAAACCGAUGAAGUGUGGUUUUUUUGCAGGUGAGUUCACUGGAAGAUUUGUGUGUGUGGUGGGUGAAAAUCUGCUGAGUUCGUUUCUGCCUGGUUCUGUGUGCCUGAAAUGUAAUUGUUUUGUUUUAGCACUUUCCAAGUUUGUUUGGUUUAACUCCUGUCUACAUAGUUUUUGAGUGCUGACCUGUUUAAUGCCCUGUUUUGUAUGAGAAUAUAAAUAAAAGGAGUCAGACCCCAAGGAGACUUUUCAUACACGUUAUGGGUUCCGUGCCCGGUGACCACGCACUGAGUGUGUCACCUCGGCCUCCGAGGGGGCACAGUGGGCAGCACAGUUCCCGACUGAAGAGUGACUCACGGUCACACACCCUCAGUGCUGCCAGUGCCCUGGACCAGUAAGUUAGUCCCUGAGCACCCCGACCCCAGGCUUCUCGGUGGGCGCAGAACCCCGCCUUGCCAAGUCAGACUUGUUCGACUUCAGCAAGGCUGAAUAUUCAGAGAAUUUAAAAGUUCACACAAUAAAAUACCCUCCAAGAUCUGGGGUUUUUAAUCUACCCCCCCCCCGACACCUAGUGUGUGCACAUAUCACAGGGUCAGGAGGCUUUGUUGCAGAGGUUGGGGGCUCUGCUGGCACUAGCUGGGACCAUGCUUCACAGCAGAGAAUUCUCCCAAGUCCCACUGUCUUCGAAUGUUUUGCCAUCUGUUAAGGUGCAGAAAGGAAAAACCAGCCUGUGCCUUGAGCUGUGAUGGUGGUGGUUCUCCACAUAGUGCCGUCAUCAGAGUGUUCCAUGCUAUCUUCGUGUCGUGGUCAGGGCGUUACAGACAGUACAUACAUUUUUUUAUGCGGUGUAGAAGAGUUAUCUUGGACUUUGGACCUAGUCGUGCCAGAGCCAGGUACCUGCCUGACAUACUUGGUGACCCUCCCGACUUCACACUCACCUCAUCUCCCGAGAGGGUGUGGCCCGCUAGUGCCCACCAAGGCCGAGAUGUAGCUUUGCAACUUCAAGGCCAGCCUCUGGUGGGUCUUUAUGGACCAAUAAUCUAAAAGGGCUGCAGGUGUCAGGGGAGGCACGGCCACCACGGGCAGUGCUGGGAGCGGCAGCUCGUCAGCUCAGGUGACCCGGGCGGAGCAGCGCCGGGCAGAUGUAGCCAGAGGCUCCACCGCUGGCCUGCAGUGUGACCUCGGGCAGGCCACUUCCCUGUUUGUCCCUCAGUUUCAGUAAAAUGGGGAGGAUGGUCAUAAUUACGAUGCUUCCUGCCAGGUGGCGCUUGUGAGAGUUGAGUUAGCGGAUGGUGUAAAGCGCUCAGACUCUCAGCUGGCACAUCGGGAUGGUCAUUUCCGUUCUUCCCUGGAUUUUCAGUGCAUUUUACAAACACAUGGAAAGAAGGGCGUGUCAAGAGGACAAAUCAGAAGAGCAGAUCAGAUCCGUAAAACCCAGGCCGUAUAGUAACAGGUUGGAAUAAGCCGAGAGGUGCAGAGGGUGCUGAGGACGGCAGGCAGGACUUCCUUGUAAAACCCACAGAACAUAAAAUUUACUAUUUUAACCAUUUUCAAGUGUGCGGUUCCGUUUGUUUGUUUUUUUUAAAGUACAUUUACAAUGUUGUGAAACCUGCAGCUCUUGCCUACUUCCAGAAUAUUUCCAUCACUCCGAGAGGAAGCCCCCUCCCCCCAGCCCCUGGGCACCUCUGAUCUGUGUUCUGUCUCUGGAUUUGCUGAUUCUGGACUCUGCACUUUGCAUCCUUUUAUCAUCCAGGCCUCCCCUAGGGUUCAAAUAGGACCUCCAGCCCCUUGCCCCACGUCACCCAGCCAGCUGGGGACUACAGAGUAGAGAUUCUUAACCUUCUAAACCAGCAGAAUCUGAUUGGAAUUAGGUUUAUCCAAAAAGUCAGGUAAAGCGGGGAUUAAAAAAAGCAGACAUGUUACAUACAUUGUAUUUUAAUGUAAAAUGGAAGAAGAUAACAUCCAUUUGCUAAUGUUUUGAUAGGAAGCUGAGGCCUUUUAUUUUUGGUGGGCGUGGUCUAAACACUUUUAGGGAGGUCUUAAAUAUGCUUGCAAAGUAAUCUGAGCAAAUUCAUCUAGAUUUUUAUGGCCCCCCCAAUCUUGUAGAGUUGUCCCGCUCACACCUAAUUAAACAUUUUUAGCUUUAUAUAAGACUCCACAGUAUUCAACUAAUGGAAGAAAUUUUCAAUAUUGAGGUAUGGGGAAAUCAUUAUGGCUUAUACAUGAUUUAACAUGAAUUUUAUGCUAACUACAAUAGCUUGCUUGUGGCCUGUCAAACAUACGUUGUACAUCUGCUUUAGUCAUUAAAAAGGUGCAUUGGCCAGAAGUAAAGAACGUCCAUGUGAAAAAUAAAGACGGGGACUUGCCAGGUGGUCCAGUGGUAAAGAAUCUGCCUUCCAGUGCAGGGGACGCAGGUUCGAUUCCUGGUCGGGGAACAGAUCCCUCAUGCUGCGGAGCAACUAAGCCUGCGUGCCACAAGCAGAGAGCCUGCACUCUGCAGUGCUCUGCAACGAAAGAUCCCCCGUGCCGCAACUAAGACCCAACGCAGCCAAAAAUAAAGAAAGAUGAAACGCCUCCCUUCCUGGGAGGCCAAUGCUGGUACUCCUUCAAUGAUAAGACUCCCUUCCCAGGUGCCAAGGCUGUACUGACUCACUGUGUACCUGCUCAUAGGUUUUUGUUUUGGGGUUUGUUUGUUUUUUGUUUUUUUGAAACCUUGAAGGACUGUAUCCCUGACUUGUUUAAUGUUUUGUUUUGACAAGAUACAAAACAAUGCUGGAAACCCUGCUUCCGAGCAGUUGCUAAGUUAUCUAAGAGGCCGUCUCCCGUCUCCCAGGCUGUAGUCCUGUUUGGCUCAAAUAAAAUUUUUUUCUAUCCCUAUUAUAGAUUGUUAAUUGGUUAUUUCUGUCGACACAACUUAGAUUUGUUGUUUUUAUUUCAAAUAGGAGCAACACUUCUGUUUUGUUUGUUUUACAGUGUUUCACCAGUCUGCAUCCUACUUUAUUAAAUCAUGUAUUAUUGAACGAGGUCAGCUGGCGCGCACAGGUUUGGGAACAAAUACGAGUGGCUUUGGCAAGGCUUCAGCUCACGUGAUUGGAGCAGAAGCCUGGGUCCUCCCAGCGAGGAGCGUCAGCCUUUGGUGUCCGGGUUUCCUGGAGACCGUGAGGACUUUCCGUGAGGACCAGAGCCUCAGAGGAAGGGGGAGAGAGGUGUCCUGGGCGGAAACCGGAGGAGCUGCUCCAUGGCCCCAGCUGUGCUCGCUGGUGGCCACUGUCGACAAAAAUGAACCAAUAGGUGGUUAAAAAGAGAAACAGGAUUUUAUUCAAGCCAACCUGAGGAUUACAACCCAGGAGACAGUUUCUCAGAAAUCUCUGAGGGGUGCUUCACUUCUUAGAAGUCGAAGGCACAGUUAUAUGUAUUUUUGAGACGAAAUGACACACGUUUUACAGAGUUCGCCAACGGUACAUAGUCCAGAUCUGCACGUCGGAGGCAAGCAGCAGGUCACCAUGACCCCUGACAGGGUUAGGAAAGGAAUGUUCUUAAGGAAUUCAUUGCUGGUGUCUGAAGAAAGGAAGAAAAGUUGAUCUUUAUGGUUGAGUAGACAUUCCUGCCUUUGAGGAGGUCUGGUUAACGCAUACACUGCCCAUUAGGGAGGGCCCAACCUGGGCAGGGAGUAUGUUAGGCCUACAUUUUCUUGUCCUGCCUCAAAAACACAAAUUUUACUCCAUCACGGCUCUUGGUGGCGCUGCUGACCACAGGCCGGGUCAGAAACAAACCAGCCACCUGCCUGGCAGUUCUGUUCAGAGGCCUACACGGUCUCUCUGUGAGCUGUAGGAACACAUAAAUCACGUGUUCCUUAAGCAGCGGAGAGGCGUGGGAAGGAGCUGAUGGUCCCCUGCCCCACCCCAGUUCAGGCCAAGACAGCCUGUGGCCUGUGUGGGUCCUUGUGCACCAUUCUCCAGGCUCGGGCAAACACCCAUGAUACACAUGUUGUUACGUAUGUGGUUUCCAGAGUUAUCUCGGCAUUCAAGGCCCUCCAGAGCCUGCGCCCCCGGCUUCGUCAAUCUGACCUCCUGGGUCAGCGCCUUUGUCCGCACGCAGACACCCUGCUGGGGCCAUUCUGGUCAGCCCAGCCUGAGACACCCCACGUGUUCUCACUUAAGCAGAGCCCACCUGUCCUUUGAGACCAGCUCUGGUCCCAGCUGACAGUUUCCUCUCUGGGGCUCUUUAGUGCCAAUUCUCUGUCCUACUCACCUGACCCAUCUUGUGCCACCUGGGGCUGUCUGUCCUGCGCCUUUUCAUGAGGUCCAGCUGCCCUGCAUCUGGCCUCUCUUUCUCAAGACAGGACAUUGCCAGCCUCCUCGGGCUUAUGGGGAAGACAGGUUUGCAGUGAGAGCCUUUGCCCCUUUCCUCCCACCGACACGAGAGAGGGCGUGGUACCCCAGGUGAACGCCCAGAGUUGGGGGGGGGGGCGGCUGCUGGAAGCAGAAACCAACAUCUCGUCCCCAGCUGGGUGCUUGCUAAGCUGUAGACCCUGCCAGCUCAUCCUGGUGCCGCCACCAGGAUGUGGAGAGAGUCCUGGGAGAGGUUGACAGGUGUCCCCUGAAGGUGGGGUGUACUUGAGCACAGCCUGGUGCUGGCUCUCACCUGGGGAAUUCCAGGACCAGAGGGUUCUGCAGUCACCCUUCGAGGCCAAAAGGGACAGGGGUAUAGUGGCUUUGGGAUGAAGAGGACAGUUACUGUGGUCAACUGAAUAAUGGCCCCCAAAGAUGUCCACACCCCAACCCCCAGAACCUGUGAAUAUGUCACUUUACAAGGCAAAAGGGGCUUUGCAGAUGUGAUGAAGUUAAGAAAUCUGGGAUGGAGGCCAUCAUGGACUAGCCGCGUGGGCCCAGGGUCAUCACAAGCGUCCUUAUCAGAGGGUCAGAGACAGAGAGGAGAUGUGAUGCUGAAUUUGAAGGGGGUGGAAGGGGCCACAUGCCACGGAGUGUGGCAGCCUCUAGGAGCUGGAAAGGGCAAGGAAAUGGCUUCUCCCCUGGAGCCUCCAGAGGGAACAGUCCUGUGGGCACCUAGAUGUGUCACACUUAGCUCCAAGGGCAUUUGGAAAGCGCAGGCUUUUACCUGGCUGUUCAUGUUGGUGGAGUGGCAGCUGGGAGAGGUCUCUGCUCGGUGCCUUGCAGGGUAUUUGGAGAGCUUGCUGGGGCUUGGAAGGGCCAGGCAGCAGCUGGCACUCAGGAAAUGAUGUUUGCUGAAGCAGCAGACCUGCUUCUCUGUGUCACUCUUUUCAAAGUGUCCCCUCUGAAGGCCGAGCACAUCUAUACCUGUAACAGGAACCUUGCAGACUGGCAGUGCUUAACUGAAUGUCGGGACCCUCUGCUUUGAUUUAACAAACAACGUUAUCAUGCAGUGACAUGGCUUGCAGAAAUUAUGAUCCAGAGGAGGAAGGAAGCCUGGGAAUGCUUGACGCGCUGCCUGGUGGUUAGCUGGGUGAUUUCUGCUCAUCUUAACCAAAUCUCUUUACCCUCUUUCAGUCCAGUGGUUCAGAGAGGCCCAGGAGAACCUGGCAAAGCCCUGUCACCCCUCUGGUUGGCUCUGGCUUUCCUCACUCAGGAGUCAAGGGGCACGAGCAAGCCCAGGGUCCAGCAGACAAGGGCUUCCUUCCGUACCCACCAGGCAGGACACUUCCCCUUGGGGUCCAGGCAGUCCUGGAGUUUGAAUGCCACCGUGUCCUGGGAAAUGUGCACCUUUGUGCCUGACACUGCCAGCACACCCCCUUUUGGGGGAGGAGAGCGUCCUACCCUGGCUGUGAGAGCUGGACCUCAGCCCGCUGCUGCGUUCCCUCCCUCAUCCGCGACACGGCAGGGGAGCACUUCCAACGUGGCAGGUUUCCUGUGCACUGUCUCAUCUCCUCCCUGCGACAGUCAUACGAAGCAGGGACCAGUACUGUCAUCUCCAUUUUGCAGAUGAGAAACUGAGGCCUCGAGGUCAGGGAAACAGAGCUGGCAGGUGGCAGAGCCAGAACCUGACCCCUGAGUGGACGCUCUCUACUCUGCACACUCAAACCCUAAGCCCCGCUCCAGAGUAGUCCAAGCAGGGCUGCCGGAUUUAGCAAAUCAAAGAAGCUGGCCCAAGUUCAGUUUGAAUUUCAGGUAAACAAGGAAUUUUUUUUUGAGUUUAAGUAUGUCCUGAAUAGUGUAUGGGAUAUACUUAUACUUUUAAAAAAUUCUGUGUUGUUUAUCUGAAAUUCAGAUUUAAUCAGGUAUUCCCUAUUUUACCUGGCAACCCUAACUGCAAGGCAAAAGCCACCACGUAGCCCUGUGUGAGCCAGUGGCCAUGGGACAGGGAAGGUACCGCCAGCAUAACAUCGAUGUGCAGGGUGAGGGCCAGGAUGUCGAGUCUCUGGGCGUGGGAACCCAUUCUGGAGAACAGGUCUAUCAGUCCCCGGGGCCAGCCCCAAGCUCUCCCCAAGCAAAGGCAGAGCAGCGUGUGGCCUGCAGCGCCUGAAGAAUUGCUUGCACGUGCAGAGAGAAAGGUGGCCUUGGGGAUACUCAGCGGGGAGGCAGAGGAGACCAGGCGUGUUGGAUUAGAGUUUGCAGUGCCAGCUGGUCCACUGUGCAAGGUGGGCUUUGAAGAGCCGGCCUGGGGCCCUGCAGCUGUGGCAGCCGGCAGGACCCACCGAGGAGCCAGGGCCAGGACACGAGUCCCACUGUGGCCCUGAUAGCUCUUGGUGGUGUUGGGCCCAGGUUGCAGCUGUGUCUACAGCUGUGCAGGCAGACGGCACGGCCCUCAGGAGCACCUGUGUAGGAGCCUCCUGCAAGUGUGUGGGCCAAAGCCCCGUUAUCACCCUCACCCUGUGGUAAUGGAAGCUACCUUGUCUUAUGUGGUUACCACGGCUGGGAACUCUGACCACUUGACCUCAUCGAAUCCUCAUAGAACCCAGGAGUCUCCUGCCAUUAAUAGUUUUACAGAUGGAGACAUGCUCAGAGAGGUUAAGUAACUCUGCUGAGACCACAAAGCCAGUGAGUGGCAGAGCUGGGGCUUGAAGCCCCUAUCUCUAAGCCCUUGCUUUUAACCACUGAACAACAGAGCACGCUUCAUAAGGCUGGGGGCCCUGAGAGAAAAGGCUUUGAAGUGGUAGACAGAACAUUCAUCUGCACCGCAUAAAAUGUUCCUGCCUGGGUUUGAAUAAGGCUCCCCCAUCACGGACACACAUCUCAGGAUGUACUGAGGUGUGUAGCUGCUUAACCAGACUCAGCUUAUAUUUUAGAUCAACAAAUGAAAUUUAGGGACUUCCCUGGUGGUCCAGUGGUAAAAAAUCCACCUUCCAGUGCAGGGGACGCAGGUUCGAUCCCUAGUGGGGGAACUAAGAUCCCUCAUGCCGCGGGGCAACUAAGCCUGUGCGCCGCAACUACUGAGCCCGCGCGCUCUGGAGCCCGCGUGCCACAACUAGAGAGAGGCCCUCGCGACGCAGCGAUAGAUCCCGCGUGCCUCAACUAAGACCCCACGCAGCCAAAAAUUUUUUUCAAAAAAUAAAUAAAUAUUAAAAAAAGUUUAAAAACAAAUGACAUUUACCAAGAGGGCCCCGUCAGCCCACAAAACACUCUUCCUGGGAGCUCCUGACCUCCUCUCUGAGGGGAGAGGGUCUGUCUUCAGACCUGCAGGAGGGUUGGCAAAGCCAUGCCCAGGAGCACCUUCUGCCCCGGUGUUGGUGGCAACCUUGGAGGAGGUUGCCUCAGAGCCACUUGGGAGAGGCAGUGUGACACUGCAUGCAAGUGCACAUGUGCUGAACGGUUCACAUCCCAGGCCCAGCCCUUUCUAAUGAGAUUUAAGUGAGGAUUAACAAGUAAAGCAUGUUGAAGGCACUAGAAGUACCAGCUCUCCUAGGGAGGUUGACAGAGCGACUUGGUAAGUAGAGACACUUGCCCAGAAAUAUUUGAUUUUGUCUGGAACACAACUCAGAAGGAUAAUAAGCCUAGGGUUUUGAACCGAGAAGACAUCUCAUCAAGUACCAUAUUUCUGACAUGUGGUUAUUCAAAGAUCCUCUACAUCCACUGUUUCUCAGCUUCUUUGAUUCUCAGUGGAGCUUGAAAAGAAAAUCCACCCCAUCUCACCACGUUUUACAGCAUGUCAGUGUCACCAUAUUAUUCGCUAUGUUUCUUCUCCCAUCUUUCUUUCAAAACAGCAGUCACAGGACGAGUAGCCUGUACAUGUGUCAUAAAUUCUUUCUCCCUCCUGUCGAUUUCUUGGCAAGCGUCUGAUUCCAUUAUGACAUGGAGAAUCAACUUCGGGCCGCAGGAGGCUCACUGAGUUGCUGUAAUGCCGGGGCAUUUAUUCAUCAUCCUCUCCCAUGCUGCUUCCAGCCUUGUCACUCAGCGCAACAAAUACUUAAUGGAUCCCAACUCCUACGAGGCUUCGCAUUUCACAACCAGGAGACUCUGCAGUGGGUCUGCUCUUUCCUGCUUUCAUGAAAAAACUGGCAGAGGGAUAAUCGGAAAGUUUUAUUCACCCAUCUCCUUCUUCUCAUCUGGAAGGGCUUCCAGACACACAUGACUUAUUUAUAUUCUCACUCUGAGAGAAGCUUGCCCCACGAAUGCCUGCUGGGUAAUUGAAAUGACGGUCUUCAGAAUUUUUCCACUUCCUGUCAUUACGUGUUCUGUUGUCAACAGUGGCAUUCCUGAAGGAUAUACUGCUCUUGCGAGCACUUGCUGAGGUUUUCCAAGGGUCUGCAGGAGCCAUUUUGACUUUGUUUACCGUGGCUGUCUCUUCUGGUUACUCAACAUGGUGAUGUGCUAGAUGGUACCCAGCGGUGCUCAGGAAGAGCCCUUGUGGACAGAGAAUGAUGGAAACAUUGUGAUAGGGAAGAACCUUUGUAUUCUAUUACAAGCUCAUCACUAAAGGGAUGUUGCCUAUAAGCUUAAAUUAUACAUAAUGGCCCACCUCUGGGAACCCUGCCUCCCAGGUAAUGAGCAUUAAGCUAAAAUACCUCUGUUUAGCUCACAAGAAACAUGCUGACCAAGCCCACCUGUGAAUGACUGCAAGAAGGAAGAAAUGAACACAUGCCCUCCAGAGGCUGACCGGAACCAGGAAAUGUUUGACUUUCCUCCCUCCUCUUUUAGUAUAAAAGAAGCCUGAAUUCUAACUCAGGCAAGAUGGUUCUUUGGGACACGAGUCCACGGUCUGCUGGCUUUCUGGAUAAAGUUGCUACUCCUUUGCCCCAGCAAUUUGUCUCUCAAGUUAUUGGCCGGUGUGUGGUGAGCAGCUCGUUUGGACUCGGUAACAACAGCUUUCUGCACACUUUUCUCCAUGGUUUUUCUAUUCUUUUUUUCUUUAUUGCAGCUAUGAUAGUUUGCCAGAGACAGAGGUCAGUGUAGCAGAGGGAUGAGCACACAGGCUCUUGAGUCAGACAGCCCUGAGUUCAAAUCCUGGAUCCCCAACUGUAGUCGAGAAGAUCUUUGCUUCUAAUUCUUUACUCACUCCCAGUAUCAGAAUUAGAAAUUGUCGCCCUUUUGGCAUGUGACUUUGCAGCCCCUCCCGCUAGAGUGGGCAGAGUACGUGGGAUGUGGAAGCCUGGUCCAGCCGAGGGCUUCAGAGGUGCCGUCUGUCCUGCCUACGUGUCCUCCAUCUACCCUGAGAAGAAUAUGCCCUGGGAGACUGUCGCAUCCCAGAACGAUGCAGAUGGACCCCACCUGAACCCAUCCUGCAGCCUGGAGAUAAUCCCAGCCAACCCAGAGAACUAGGGAAGCAGUGGCUGAGGACCCAGCUACACACAUUUCUUCAGCUUCCAGAUGGCCUGUGACUGGAGGGAACAACGAUGGGGGGCCCCACAUGGACCCAUCUCUCAACUGUAAAAUAGAAACACACCAGCGAAGCCGACUUGAAAAGGUUUAUGAAGGAACCAGGCUUACUGGAGCAUCUCCUCAGCUCUCAAGUGGUACCCAGCUGUAAGGUGUGGAUCUGAGUCCCCACCACCAGCAGGUCAGUUUCCCACAGGUGUCCAAGUGGCAGGUCUUGAAAUCAUCUUGUAGCUGCGAGAACCCGAGUCACCUCUUCUUCCAUGUCGUUUUGUGAUUACUGCUUGAGAGAGGCAAAAGAGAGAGACUGACAGAUGGGAGUGUGGGGACGAGAGAGACAGAGAAAGAGAGAGAGAGAAUGCACUAAGGAAGCACUCUCAAGAUAAUAAAAGAAUUCCAAGUCCAAUUUUUGUCUCUAGAGGUUCUCAUUUUGCAAGCUGCCACAAGGAUGUGGGUGUUCACGUGCAAACACAAUUCUCCAUAAUCCUGCAGCACCUGGGCCCAGUGACAGACUGAGUCUGGGGGACAUGUCACCCAUUUGUUCUUCUGACCAGGCUUCUGCCACGCACCAUCCAUCAGUCAUGGAUGGAGGGAGCAGAACGUUUCCAUGCUCCCCAGAUGCACCGUCUCUCUCCACCUGCUGGAGAUGCCUUUGUAGACAGGAUGCAGUGGGACUGGCCCCAGGUGGGCCCCUUUGCCUCCUCUGAUCCUUUUUUUUUUGCUUUCUGGUCACGCCGCGCGGCAUGUGGGAUCUUAGUUCCCCGACCAGGGAUCGAACCCGUGCCCCCCUGCAGUGGAAGCACAGAGUCUUAUCCACUGGACCGCCAGGGAAGUCCCAGCCUCCUCUGUCCCUUUGCCUUGGGUGGUCUCCGAGGUCCCCGGAGCUCAGGCCAUCCUGAGGCUGAUUGCCUUAGAAUGAUCUCCCAGUGACACCCAUCAAGUUGUUCUGGAAAUCUCCUUUACUCCGGUUUGGGGGGCAGAGAUGGAAAAAAAGGACGGGAACUUGAGCUUCCGGGCCCUCCAGUUCUGUGAUUCAAGGGCUCAAAGGAAAAGGAGCUUCCUAAGCGGAGUGGUCAGGCUGCCUUUGCAGUUACGUGGGUGAUGGGGCGAUGAAAACACAGGUGCAGCCCUGGCACUGAAGAGGCAGCGGUGCCUGAGGAGGGAGUUGGCCGCGCGGGGGCGCUUGUGGGCCAAGUACACUUAGGACCCUCAGCUCCCCCCGCCCCUUCCCUCUUGGCACCUCGCCUCUGUGCCUCCCGCCUGCUUCCUGCCAAACCUUGUUGGUCCCCCCACCAGCUCCCCACAAUGGCCGUGACAGCUUGUGCUGGGGCCACGUGGUGGGAUGGAAGGGGGUUUAUCUGUCCUAAACACUCGUGCCGCUGGCAUGUUUUAUGGGAUUCCAAAAGCGUGGCGAGUGGAGGGAAAUUCUUCCCUCCGGAGAGAGAGAAAAAGAAAAUGAGGAAUGAGAGAGAUGAAAAGGCUUUUUUUCUUCCCCAAAUUGGAGCUACACUUCAGAUGAAAAUAAUGCAUCUUGUGCCCCUGCCUGUGGGGCGCGGUGUUUUCUGCAGACUGAAAAAAAACGCAGAAUGUGGAACAAAAGCUGGUCUCGGAGACCAUUAGCCCCUUGUUUAAAGUGUUUAAUUUCAAGCCUUCGACACUUUUUUUUUUCUUUUUAACGAAUCCAUGAGGCAACUGUGGGGAGGAAACAAGAAGCUGCCAGGUAGUGCUGUGUCUUGCUUGCUCGUCCAACUGUUCCAUCUUUUGUUAAAGCCAUAAAUGCAUUUUUCAAGCCACUUGGCUUCUCGGAUGCUGUAUAUUUAAUUUGCCUGGAACAUUCCACAGACUGCGCGCUUUUCAACAGCAUCUCAUUAGAGCCUUGUGUGACUGCCCAUCUCUUCACGGGCAGUGCAGUGCUCAGCUUAACGGGCAGCCUUCCUGGCUGACUUUCGUCAGAGAAAAUGCGUGACUUGGGCUCAUCGGUUGACUUGUGUCCCCUCCAAAUUCAUAUGUUGAAGUCCUAACCCCUAGGACCUCAGCAUGUGACCUUAUUUGGAAGUAAGGUUGUUGCAGAUGUAAUUAGUUGAGGUCAUUAGGGUGGGCCCUAAUCCAAUAUGACCAGUGUCCUUAUAAAAAGGGGAGAUUUGGUCACAGAGAUGUGCACAGAGGAAAGACAGCCAUCCAAAAGCCAAGGGGAGGCACCUGGAACAGAUCCUCCCACCAGCCUCAGAAGGAGGCUGCCGACACCUUGAUUGCAGACCUCUGGGCUCCAGAACAGGGAGAGAAUAAAUUUCCAUUGUUCAAGCCGCCGGUCUGCGGUGUUUUGUUACAACAGACACAGGAACUCCUCAGACAUCAUAGCAAAAGCCCCUGCGUGGUCUAGAGGGUGAAGGAGGCGGCCUCACUUUCGCCAUGUUGCUGAGCAAGGACCUGGUUUAGGGGACGGCGUCGCCUUUAUUCAGCCCUGUUUCUCAGGCCUCUCUUCGCUCGCCAUCACCCACCUGACUCCCACCUGGGACCACCAUUCCAGGAGGCCAGGUAGAGGUGAGAGUGGCCUGCCGUCUGGUACUGCUCCUUCAGCACCAGUUCCCAUGGACCACUGGGUCCCGCUCUGGCACCUAGAGGUGCUGGGUAUCUCAAACACUUGCUCUGGCCGGCACACCCCUGACCUCCAGGCCAUCAUCCUCUCCAAGGCUCUCGGGCCCACGUGGGUGAAACAUUUCCUUAACAUACUCAAAGGCUAACCAUUGGACCCAGGAAGCCUGGCUUUCUAGGACAUGUUUUUACACAGAACAAUUGUCUGGACACUUGUCCUUCAGAGGCCUGCCUGGACCAAUCGGGCAGUGAGAACAUCUUCUGAGCCCCUUCUGAACAUGAGAAGCGGGCUGAGGGGCUGAAUCCUAGAACAUGCCCUACACGGCUGCCUGUGUCAUUGCAGCUGGUGCCUGACUGCCUGCACGUGCCAGUGGGGGAAGGGGUGCUGGUGGGAGAGGGUGGAGCCUGGCAACUGAUCUGGGACACUUCACGGGGUAGGGACAACUCUGUAGCCUUUUAAAGAUGGGAAAUGAUAGAGCUGAUCGCGGGAAGUGAUUUCCACUGUGAACAAGGCCAGACAUGACCAACGUUUUGAGGUGGGAGCCGGCAAACCCAGUGUGGAGGACCCGAAGUGAAACCGACCCCCUAAAACCAGGUUCCUCUGCUGAGUUGAUGAUUCCAACACCUGUUCCCCUCAAGAUUGGGGAGUGUCAAAGAAUAAGGGGGAUCGAAACCGAACAGGGCCCUCCCAAGUACAAAAGCCUUUCUGUGUCCCCUGUUGCUUGUUUGUAGGAAAAAAGCUUCAGUCUCCUUGACCUUCCCUGCGUUCCAAAGGUCAGAUUCAAACAAUUACUAAUCAGGGAAGGGAGGGAAUGCAGAAAGGGGGGAGGAGCCGCCAAGAAGCAGUAAUGCAGCCAUAAAGCAGGGUCCUUAGCGACAUACUCCGAGCUCUUCUACAGGAACUAAAGCCCCCACCCCAGUGGAGGAUGGUAACUUCAGGCUGAGCACAAGCAGGGGACCCCAGACUGGUUGGAACCGGAAGGCUGAUGAUGAGAUUCCUGGAGCACCGCCCUGUUACCUCCCAGCAACCAGUCAGAGGAAGGUCACACACCUGCAGCCUGUCUCCCAAAUUUUGCCCAUAAACGCUCUUCCCUGAAGACCAGCAUAGAGUUCAGGCUUUCUGAGUGCGAGCCGACCGUUCCCCUUGCUCAGCCCCUUUCUGCUCUCCAAACGCGGACGUGCUGGUUGGUCUGGCCUCACGGCGUCAGGCACGUGAACUGGACAGCGCAGGGCUUAGGUGAGGGCUGGGGCAGAGGACACGAGUGGACCUAUUCUCGACUCCAAGGUAAGAAGGGAACCCAGAUAACGAGUGCUCUACCGCAGGGCUGCUGUGGGCGUCAUCCUGUCCCCCCAUUCAAGUCCUAACCCCUGGCACCUGUGAAUGUGACCUUAUUUGGAAAUUGAGUCAUUGCAGAUAUAAUCAAGUUAAGAUGAAGACAUACUUUGUUUGUUUGUUUGUUUGGCCAUGCCACGCCGAGUGGCUUGCAGGAUCUCAGUUCCCCGACCAGGGAUUGAACCCAGGCCCCAGCAGUGAAAGCACCAAGUCCUAACCACUGGACCGCCAGGGAACUCCCGAGAUGAAGAUAUACUUGAUUAAGGUGGAUAAGGGCCCUAAACCAAUAGGACUUGGGUCCUUAUAAGAAGAGAAGACACACAGACACAUACAGACAACACCCUGUGGAGACAGAGACUGUCUCGGGACAGACUCUCCCUCAGAGCCUCCGGAAGGAACCAACCCUUCUGGCGCCUUGAUUUUGGACUUUUGCCCUCCAGACCUGGGAGAGAAUAAUUUCUGUUGUUUUGAGCCACCCUGUGCGGUCAUUUGUUACUGCAGCCCCAGGACACGAAUACAAGGGCCUACAGUGUGCAGGGCUUCACAUAUGUCUCCAUCGGAUGGGAACAGCCGGGACGUGGGAGGCGGCUGCAUUUUCCGGAAACAUGGUCCCAGUGAGCCGCAGGGGGAGCACCUGAACCCUGGCCACCCGAACGCUCAGAGGGCCCGCCGGGCGGGGGAGGAGACGACCCCUCUCCCUCCAGGAUGUUUAACCCACUCGACUGUCUCCUGCUCCGGAAAAUCUUCCUCCCCUGCUUCCUGGCCCAGGCAGGGCCAGCCCUGUGCCUUCCACACACUGCCCGUCGCACCCUCCAGCCUCUGGCGGGCAGAGGGGUGGAGCUGGAUGCCAGAGGGAAGGCUGUACCCACCAUCUGAGGUUGGAAAACCUUCUUCCACAGGCAGGACAGCAGGAUGUCUGGCCGCAGACACUUGCUCCCCCAUACGGGUCACCCCAGGGCUACGCCAAGCCUAUGGCUUUUCAGAGGGCAGAGCCCUGGGUUUGCCCAGCAGAGGUCUGAGCCAGACCAAGCUACAGCAUCAUUUUAAAGGCACAGAGGAUUCUGGUUGUCACAAGAACUUGAAACCCUGUCCACGGUUCUGGAACACUCCUGGCUACCGGGUCUGGGAAGCCACUAGAUGGCAGUAGAGACCGGGCCUGGCCCCAGUGUAGCCGAGUGGGGCUGGAGGGGAGGAGGGAACCCAGAGGAACCCGGGAAGGGGGGCAUUUGAGUCACGUGUGUCAGUGAGGGACCCAGGAGGGGAGACCAAAUUGUCAACAUGUGUGGGGUAUGGGCUGGGAGCCCCAUGGUUAGGCCCACAGGAGCCUCCUGCUUGGAAGGACGUCCCUUGGGGAGUCCACCUGGGCCCUCCAUUUUUUAAUUAAAAAAAAUUUUUUUGGGCCACACCACGUGGCAUGCAGGAUCUUAGUUCCCCAGCCAGGGAUCGAACCCCUGCUCCCUGCAUUGGAAGCGUGGAGUCUUAACCACUGGACUGCCAAGGAAGUCCCUGCGCCCUGCAUUUUGAAGCAGGCUGCUUUCCAGAGCCCCAGGACUUCCUCACGGGGCUUCCAGGGCCAGAGACUGAUGGCCAGACGGUGUCCACCUGUUUGUCAGGCCAGGGAGAUCCAGGGAGAUGGGGGGGGCACAGCAGAGGCCGCCGGGAGAACACGGGCCUGGGGGAGAAGCCGGGUGCCAGUACCUGCCCGCUGGUGACCCCAGCCGGGUUACUUAACCUCUCCUCACCUGUGAAUUGAGGGUAUGGACAGUAUCUACCUGGUAGGGUUACAUGAGACGGUGCCUGCCACCCAAUCCAGCCCAGAGCACACGCCAUCACCAGCAUCACCAGCUCUGUCAUCCUCGUUGUUCUUAAUGGUAUGUGGUGACCUUGGAAAGGUGGGGCAAGUGUAAAACAGACAAAACAAACCAAACGUGGCUCUUUCGCAUGCGUGGACAGUCUGGACACGAGAAGCCCAGCUUCGAAUGGCAUCGUGGUCCACCCAGGCUCCUCUUAGACAUCUUCCCAGGGUGACCCAUUCCCAUGGGUCACUUGGGGCGUCUGCAGGUGUAUCCAGGCUCCCCGCUGACCGUCAAGGGGCGCCCUAUUUGACAUGUUCCUAUUGGGCGGGGCCUCUAUCUGCCAUUACCUGUGAUGGUCAAAGGCGGUAAAGGAGUUGUGUUCUGAAGGGGCCCCCAGGUCAAAGCCAAGGGAGCAAGCCCCAAACUGGACGUCAGUCUCAGGGCCAGGCUGAGAGUCGGAGCCACUGUGUGGAGUCUGAUGAGAGAGGAUUGAGGUGGGGCGGAAGGCCUGAGAGGCCACAUGCGUGGAGGCUGGCAGGGGAGAAACUCCAGAGAGAAAGCAGGGGCGUGGCAGCCUUUCAGGUCCUUCUGCGGCACGUUUGGUUAAUGAUGCUGAGCAGUGCCGAGUGGGCAGCGUGCAGACUGCAUCGCCCUUGCAGGCUCAUGGGGGUAUUUGUUUGGUUCUCUGGAGGGAUGUGGGGGACGCUUAUGGGUUAGAACAGGAGCCUGUGUGUCCCCGCCAUGAGCCCCUCUAUGCAGAGUGUUCACUCUCAGUAAACACUGAAAGAAAGUGUCAGUAAGUGAACUUCUCCUGGUCACUCUGAGCAUCAUUUCCUUUAUUCACUUCAUGUACAUCAGACAGGAUCCUUCUGGAUCAGUGAGUUCAUCCAGAUCUUUGGGAACCGCUGGAGAAGCAUCAAUUACCGUUGGCCAGCAAGCCUGGCCACGUUCCGUGUCCCUGAGCCAAAAUCACAACCAUCCUGUAAGAUGCUUCACAGGCUCUUUGGACCUGGCGUUGACAGUGAUGAAAGGCACCAGGGAAGCUUAAUGAAGACGUUCUUAGUUCUUAAAAAAAUAAAAACGACAGUAAUAGCUAACAUCUGUGGAGUGCGUACGAUGAACCAAGUAUUUUACAUGCAUUACCUAAUUUAAUGUGAAAUGACUCUCUGAGAUAGGAAAUAAAAUAAUUCCUGUCUUACAGAUGAGGAGACCGAGGCUCAGAGACCUACGCGUUGUCACCAGUCCAGAAAGUCUUGAAGCCAGGGUUCAAGGCAGGCCCUGGCUCUGGUGAGCCCACUCUGCAAGAGAGAUGCUCAGCAUGUGUGCAGAACUCAACGUCGGGACGAGAGGGGACACUGGUUCGAGCCCUGGUCCAGGAAGAUCCCACAUGCCGCGGAGCAGCUAAGCCCGUGCACCACAACUACAGAGCCUGCGCUCUAGAGCCCGUGAGCCACAACUACUGAGCCCACGUGCUGGAACUACUGAAGCCCACGUGCCUCGAGCCCGUGCUCCACAACAAGAGAAGCCACCGCAAUGAGAUGCCCGCGCACCGCAACGAAGAGCAGCCCCCUGCUCCGCUCACUGCAACUAGAGAAAGGCUAUGCAGCAACAGAGACCCAACGCAGCCAGAAAUAAAUAAAUAAAUUUAUUUUUUAAAAAAUCCUCCAA